Molecule: non-coding RNA, 29 nt
Filed under: Homo sapiens (human)
Lineage: Eukaryota; Metazoa; Chordata; Mammalia; Primates; Hominidae
Source: RNAcentral
GAGCCUGGAUAGCAUUCAGCAGUGGGUGU